CAAACGGCCCUUUUCAGGGCCCCUCAAAAGAUUAUACGAGAGCAUCU
Lasius niger is the source of this 47-nucleotide non-coding RNA. NCBI's taxonomy places the organism in Eukaryota, Metazoa, Arthropoda, Insecta, Hymenoptera, Formicidae. The record is from Rfam.